This 253-nucleotide ribosomal RNA is filed under the name uncultured bacterium. RNAcentral describes it as "partial 16S ribosomal RNA". It matches the Rfam family "Bacterial small subunit ribosomal RNA", at positions 524 to 776 of the family's 1533-position model. The record is from RNAcentral.
UACGAAGGGGGCUAGCGUUGCUCGGAAUUACUGGGCGUAAAGCGCACGUAGGCGGUCUUUUAAGUCGGGGGUGAAAUCCUGGAGCUCAACUCCAGAACUGCCUUCGAUACUGGAAGACUUGAGUCCGGGAGAGGUGAGUGGAACUGCGAGUGUAGAGGUGAAAUUCGUAGAUAUUCGCAAGAACACCAGUGGCGAAGGCGGCUCACUGGCCCGGAACUGACGCUGAGGUGCGAAAGCGUGGGGAGCAAACAGG